AUAUAAGCAAAUUUUACUUUUUAGGUUCAUUCAAUUAAUGAUGUAUGUGGUCUAUAAUAUAGACCACAUACAUCAUUAAUUGAAUGAACCUAAAAAGUAAAAUUUGCUUAUAU
Molecule: microRNA precursor, 113 nt
Organism: Medicago truncatula (barrel medic)
Lineage: Eukaryota; Viridiplantae; Streptophyta; Magnoliopsida; Fabales; Fabaceae
Rfam family: MIR2593 microRNA precursor family
Source: Rfam